Long non-coding RNA from Armigeres subalbatus, 2837 nucleotides. RefSeq lists it as uncharacterized. Lineage: Eukaryota; Metazoa; Arthropoda; Insecta; Diptera; Culicidae. The transcript has 5 exons. The record is from RefSeq and is a predicted model, not a curated record.
AUCAUGACAAUUCGGGACUGAUUCGCGAUUUGGGUGUAACUUAUUUUGUAACAAACAUUGGAAGGCUAAUUCCUGCUUAUUAAAGUAUUUCCUGAGAAAACGAUAACAAAAUGUUUGUUUACUAAAUAAGUUACGUCCAAAUCGCAGAUCAGUCCCGAAUUAUUAGGUACAGGACUGAAAUGAAAGUAUCAGCAGCAAACUUCUUAUAAUUUAUUACAUUUUCGGUUAAACAAAUUUGUAUUUACAAAAGAAAAUCUAAGGAAAGUAUAACCAAAUAUUGGGCAAAUUCUAAUGAUGAUACCGAUGACGAGACUGAAAUAGAACCAUACGACAUUCUUUGCUUUUGUGUUUUACGGAAGCAAAAUGUUACGGUUUUGUUUGAGAUUAUUCUGGCGGCUGAUUCGAAUUUGUCUAACUCUUUGGAUGUUAUCCAAAAUUGCUGUUAGAAUUGAUAAAUAAUUUUUAUUUUGUUUUCAGAAAUAUGGAUUCACUUCACGAUUCACGGUAACACAACGCUAACAAUCUUUCUACAUUUCUCAGCAUUGAUUGUUGCCAUAUGUAUGUCUACAUUCAGCUAGACAGAAAGAAAUAAGGAUUUGCUUCACAAUUCACGGCAACAUAACGCUAACAAAAUUUCUCCAUUUCUCAGCAUUGAUUGUUUCCAUUCAACAAGACAAAAGAGGAAAUAGAUGGACACAUGCUGAAAUAUAUUUCCUGGGUUAUUGUGAUGGUGCCUUCAAAUAGUUUCCCCAAGAUUUUAUGUUCAUCAUCUCGAUAUUUCUAUGACUCGAUGGUCCGUUCAAUAUCGACUAAACAACUGACUGCGUUGACUUUAUAACUGUGCUAUGCAACGGAGCAAAAAUGAAUUCUGCAAUCAGCCAGUAAGACGGAAACAGAGGUAUGAUCGAAUGUCGUUUGACAUUCUACAAAAUCAAAGGGAAAAUUAUGCUUGUUUGUUAUUUGAAUGUUCUAUCCAUCGUAAACGAAUGCUCUAUCCAUCGUAAACAGCGUAACAGUUUUUCGUGGUUUUUUAUUUGUUUCGCAUAUAGGUACAGUGACCGGCAUAAUAAAGAGCCCAUUUGGCGUUUUUCAUACAAAAUGGUCAACUUUGGGUGUGAACCAAUUUAACAGAGCUCAGAUAUAACUUUAUUUUUACCACACCUAGGUUACACCUAAGAAUCGACCAUAUUGAUUCACAGGGUAAAAAAUUAUUGCGGUAUUAUCAAAAUUAGAAAUACUCGAAUAAGAGAUCGGCGAAGACGCCAUCUUGUUUCCAAUCGAACCGUCAAAAGCGGUUCCAAUUCGAUUUGUUUACUUUUUGCUUCCAUAAGAAGCAAGCAAAAAGUUCAAGUGCUGCCAGUAUUAUUUUCACGAUUUCAUGCAUUUUCAUACGUUGCCAUUUCGACAGUUUUUCACUCCGCCGGUCUCUGGUUAUAGGGUUGCUAAUCAAAAUUAUUCUAAAGCUUGUAAACUGAUUACAUAUUCAGCGAAAAAGAGUAUUUUGCCAUACAAAACAAUUUGCUGUGUAGAAAGAAUUGAAGUUUUCAAGAUAUUUAAAAAUCUAUUGCCAAGAAAUUCGUUUUGGUAUUACCGCAAUAAUUUUUUACCUUAUGAAAUAGCAUGGUCGAAACUUAGGUAUGGUAAAAGCUUUUCGCCAACCUAAUGUUGAAUGGAAUUUUUGAAACGGUAAUGAUAGGCAAAACUUGCCCCUUUUGAAAGAGUUACAUACUAAUUACUAUCGAACAAUUACUAAUACAAAACCAUGAAAAACAAUCCUUUCAGCGGAAACAACACCCGCGAACCCACAUACAAUGUUGAAGUCCAUUAGUCUGACAAUAAUAGAACAAAAUCUGGCAAACCCUUCUUUCCCCUUUCUGCAGUAUGCGGAUAAAUACUGAUGAUGAUGAUGAUGAUGGUGAUACUACCAUCUAUUGUAGCAAGGCACCUGCCGAUAGCACUGGCCAUAUCUGACAAACGAUUUGAUCAUGAUUAUACUAUUGUAUGUAUUUCAUCAAACUCCUGUAUGAAGGGCCAAAAAUGGGUGGGGUGGUUCCAUAAGCAAAGACACUUAUGCGAAUCCACGGGAUAAAUACAGAAUCUCCUUCCAGAAGAAAGUUCGUACAUACAAUAAUAUAAUCUAGCCCUCGUUGCCCAGAUUGACCCAAUAGAUGGGGAGAAGAGCCCGCCCUUUAUCCACGAGAUGUCAACAAUAGGAAGUUGGCGAUUCCACUCUUCCUAUCCAAAUCGCUUCAAUCGGGUGCCCUGAUGGUUUUUUUCGUAAAUAAUCAUAUAAUUUGGUAAAUAUUUAUAUGUAUAUAUAUCAUGUAUAAAGGAAUUCUCUCACCAAAUUUUAAAUCGCAUGUCCUGGAUGAGGGAGGACCUUGCUUCAUCAGCUAGUUUUAGAUUUGUGCUGUCUUCAGAGAUGGAAAACCAAUAGUUGGGAAUAUUCUUUGUUCUUGUUUAUUGUUCAUGUUUGUUCUUGAAAAAUAUACUUCUUGAUUUCUGAAAAGAUGAAAUAAAAGGACAGAUGGCAAUAUCAUAGAUAAUAACAUUAGCGUCUUGAUUAAAAUGAAUAUGAAAUCUGAUUUUUAUGCAGUAUGCGGAUAAAUACUAUGCAGAAAAUGGAAAAAUAACAUACCGUCUAACGGGGUCACUUAAAAUUUUAAAUGACAAGCAAAUAACAUGAUGAUUUUUCUCGAAAACGAUUUCUUCCUGUUGAAAUCUUUGAAAAAGUCGUGGGCGGAGAAGGUUAACAUAAGAUUCUUCAAGAUGACCUUUAGCGUUCAAACGGGUUUUUAUUUUGGUUGAAUGACAUAAAUAAACAAAAUUAAAUAUGA